Long non-coding RNA from Microtus ochrogaster (prairie vole), 647 nucleotides. RefSeq lists it as uncharacterized. The record is from RefSeq and is a predicted model, not a curated record. NCBI's taxonomy places the organism in Eukaryota, Metazoa, Chordata, Mammalia, Rodentia, Cricetidae.
AAGGUUGUACAGUCCAUAAAGCCCUGGGAAGCACACCCCAGACGGUGUAGUUCUUGCUGGCUCCGCCUAAAGCAGAGAGGAGGGAGUAGACACGAUGGAAAGACAACAUCUCCUUGGUUCUCCCUGUUCUGAAGGAAAGCAUCUGUUCUUGCUUCCCGGCCUCAUUUCCACAUCUAUCUGGCACAUCUUGAGACUCUUGAUCCCGACAAAAGUCCUUGUUUAUUUCUCCUUCAGCUUAAGCAGCUCCUUAGGUUGAAAGAAGGACCGAGAAAGUCAAACAAUGAAAAGAGAGAAGACAACACAAAGGAAAUCCAACACCCUUAGCCACCCCUCCGUAACAAACACCUUCAUUUGGCGAGGAUCCUGAUAUUAGGAGCCUGUGAAAACAAUCGGACGCUAGCUGAACAACAGAGGGCUUAAAUGUACUGUCACAGACAAGGGACCUUCUACAGGCUGAGGACGAGCUUGCGGCGUCUCUUGUGUAUAGACCCAGCGAGCACCUGCUGAAUGCACCAGCAGGAGGUGAUGUGCCACCAUGAGCUUCUGCCAUGAGUGUUUCAUCUUUCCAGGAGUCCACAGAAGACGGCUUGCUCUAACAGACUUCAACCUCCAAACCAUGAACUAAAAUAAAUCUUCUCUCUUUAAAA